This 75-nucleotide ribosomal RNA is filed under the name Mustela putorius furo (domestic ferret). Lineage: Eukaryota; Metazoa; Chordata; Mammalia; Carnivora; Mustelidae. The record is from RNAcentral.
GUCUACGGCCAUACCACCCUGAACGCGCCCGAUCUCGUCUGAUCUCGGAAGAUAUAUGUUUUACAUCCGUAGCUU